GCCUCAUACAGGGGGAUAACAGUUAGAAAUGACUGCUAAUACCGCAUAAGCGCACAGUACCGCAUGGUACAGUGUGAAAAACUCCGGUGGUAUGAGAUGGACCUGCGUCUGAUUAGCUAGUUGGUGAGGUAAUGGCCCACCAAGGCGACGAUCAGUAGCCGACCUGAGAGGGUGACCGGCCACAUUGGGACUGAGACACGGCCCAAACUCCUACGGGAGGCAGCAGUGGGGAAUAUUGCACAAUGGGGGAAACCCUGAUGCAGCGACGCCGCGUGAGUGAAGAAGUAUUUCGGUAUGUAAAGCUCUAUCAGCAGGGAAGAAAAUGACGGUACCUGACUAAGAAGCCCCGGCUAACUACGUG
Molecule: ribosomal RNA, 361 nt
Filed under: uncultured bacterium
Lineage: Bacteria
Description: bacterial SSU rRNA
Rfam family: Bacterial small subunit ribosomal RNA
Source: RNAcentral